GCUGUAUCUCAGUGGUAGGGCAUCUUCCCCGCAAGCAGAAGGUCCCAGGUUCAAAUCCUGACAUGUACG
Podarcis lilfordi (Lilford's wall lizard) is the source of this 69-nucleotide non-coding RNA. The record is from the annotation of a GenBank genome assembly. NCBI's taxonomy places the organism in Eukaryota, Metazoa, Chordata, Lepidosauria, Squamata, Lacertidae.